This 22-nucleotide non-coding RNA is filed under the name Arabidopsis thaliana (thale cress). The record is from RNAcentral. Lineage: Eukaryota; Viridiplantae; Streptophyta; Magnoliopsida; Brassicales; Brassicaceae. RNAcentral also lists the same sequence under 1 other name.
CUGCCCUUUGUACACACCGCCC